This 253-nucleotide ribosomal RNA is filed under the name uncultured bacterium. Its description in RNAcentral is "partial 16S ribosomal RNA". It matches the Rfam family "Bacterial small subunit ribosomal RNA", at positions 524 to 776 of the family's 1533-position model. The record is from RNAcentral.
UACAGAGGGGGCAAGCGUUGUUCGGAAUUACUGGGCGUAAAGGGCGCGUAGGCGGCCCGCUAAGUCGAACGUGAAAUCCCCGGGCUCAACCCGGGAACUGCGUCCGAUACUGGCAGGCUUGAAUCCGGGAGAGGGAUGCGGAAUUCCAGGUGUAGCGGUGAAAUGCGUAGAUAUCUGGAGGAACACCGGUGGCGAAGGCGGCAUCCUGGACCGGCAUUGACGCUGAGGCGCGAAAGCCAGGGGAGCAAACAGG